AGGUAGACUGGAGCCCCCUGUAGCCGAGUGAGGCAGCAUGGCAACCUGCACGGGGGCUGCACACAGUGACGUGGUGGGAGCUCGAGGAAGACGGUGGUUGUGAACAGGGAGAUGCAGAGAUCUGGUUGGGAUCUCGGGAUUUGCUCGGGGUGUCGCUGGAGCCAGCUAUGGAGUUGGAGGCAGUGGCCACGCUGGGCAGCAGAAGGACCCCAGGGGUGACAGGUCCCUGAGGAUAACUGGAUGUGGGGAGAAGCACACACCUCUGUCGCAUCGUACUUUCAGUCAGGACACUGCUCGGGAUACCUGCUUGCCUGUGUGUUUUUAUUGCCUACCAUAGUGACCAGUUCAGCACGGCAAAGCAGGGAAGGGAUCAAGGGACUGGUGUCUGCAGGGGUGGAACACCCUGACACUGAGACCUGUGGCCAAGCUUUUUCCUCCAAGGUGUGCUGAGGAAGUCAGGAAGAGGCUCAGACUCAAGUGCUGAGGCGGGGAGAGUCGAUUCUUCAGCCUGAGCAAGGCAGGAGGAAAAAGAAGGUGAGCCCAGACUCCUCCAGCAAAGGAUGGGCCAUUUGCGGAAUGGACAGUGUCUGUGUAAAAUUUCUUCUCAUUCUGGAAAGGCUCAAGAGAAGGUUGGCCUGGCAGUCUGCUCCCUCUCCAGCCAGGACAGCCCUCCUCAGCUGCAAACACCAAGGCAAGCUGAUCCCUGCCCUCCUGCGAGAUGCCGUCUGUGCCUCCUGAAAAUGCUUUUUUGGUUGUUCCUUGUAACAAAAAACCAAACAAACAAACAAAAAAAAAAACACCAAAAAAAAGGUUUGCAUAAUAAAGUUGUUUCUG
Molecule: long non-coding RNA, 834 nt
Filed under: Columba livia (rock pigeon)
Lineage: Eukaryota; Metazoa; Chordata; Aves; Columbiformes; Columbidae
Description: partial uncharacterized LOC102097496
Source: RNAcentral